Molecule: long non-coding RNA, 1261 nt
Organism: Carassius gibelio (silver crucian carp)
Lineage: Eukaryota; Metazoa; Chordata; Actinopteri; Cypriniformes; Cyprinidae
Exons: 3
Source: RefSeq, a predicted model, not a curated record
AUCGUUUUUCAUGGAGUCCUUGUUUUUCUUCACCUGGCUUUCUUGUGGUUUUUCAUGGUUCUUGUUUUUGGACUGCUUUCCUUGUUAUUUGACCUCUAGGCUGUUUUUGGAUUUAAAACACUGCAAUUGGAUCUCUCGUUUCCUGUGUGCAUUCAUUACAGGGGAAAACUCCGAAGUUGUUUCAGCUGGACACUUUCAAGAUGAUGGUUGAUACAAAAUGCAGAAGACAUCAAAAUCAGGGGAGAAGGAUGGAGGAUGCAGUGACGUGGGACUCGUAGGCAGCCACCCCUCCUCUACACAGCAGAGCAGGAUGGCCGCCCACUCUACUGCAUCAUGGGUAAUAUAGUCCUUGGCUCCUCCGCCUACCCUCCAGUUCCCAUCUCUACUCUUCUAGGAAGCAGAGCUAAUAUGAUGCAAACGCUUGUUUUGUGGGAAGAUUGCAAACAGAAGAGAUGAAAUAGAUGGACAGGUCUUCACUCAGGCACGGCUCGGUUUCUGAUGGAUCUCCCAGUGCACUCUGGGAAAUGCGGUCCUCAGCUCUCCAGGCUCAUGAAGGCAACCACCUGCUCCAGCUUAUAGGCCAGUCUCUGUUUCCUGGCACCAUCAUCCUGCUCCAGAGCAGACACAAUCUGCCAGAGGGAGAUGACACAUCAGUUACACAUGCCUUGAAAUAACCACAUAUUCCUCUCAUCGGCACUUCUCUCUUUUAUUAUUAUUAUUUUUUAGUAUAAUAUCUCUUGGACAUGUUUUUAACAGGCAUAGUGGUGAUUUAACAGGUCCAUACCUCUUCUGUAUAUUUGCCCACAUAAGAGUAGAUCUCGCUUAGGGAGCUCAUGCUGUUGAACUCGUUCAUGUGCAUUCGGGACUGUUCUGCCAGAUAUGCGUUCAUAUCCUGAUCACUGAUCGCAGGCAUCUUACUAAUGUCAGAGUAAUAUCUGCAGAGAAACAUAGAGAAACAGAAAUAGCACAGGUUAUUUAAUGAACAUUUAGAACUUGGACAGGUGACAGGACUUCAGUUCUUGCAGUCUUUUUAUACUUCAUGUGGAAUAAGAAUAGCAUGUUUCAGGGUCAUUUCUGGGACAGAGUGAGAGGUGUCACGCCUCUCCCAAUCAGUUUGCCAUUCACUUUCUGUGGCAGUACAGCUGCGGCUUACAUCAGUGAGUGACUGUGAGUCUUAAUGAGCUGCUGUCCUUGAAAGUUUUCCAGAGAUCAGCGGAAUCUAUAGGAUGCUGGAAAUACUCAAUAAAUGUUUACCCAUGCA